CGACGACGCCGCUACGUAGCUUACAAGCACUCUCUGUCGCUAUUUUUCUGCUUGCAAACCAGUCGAGAUUUUUUUCCCGCACUGAAUGACACGAUGCGCACCGGAGAGACAUCCGUUAAUGCAUCGGCAUGCGCAUUCGGUUGUUGCACUUGGCGAGCUCCGACGACGCGUUGAAAUCAGCCGAUUGUCUCUUCCCGCUAUAAUACUUUAUCUAUUGUGCGCGAUGUGUGACAUUCGAUCGGAAAAUUAUGAUUAAACCAAACGGCGAGUUAACAUACAAUUAAUGAACAAUUGUGAAGGUGUUUGUGUUAAUUAUGUUACGCGGUUGUGAAACGCUCCGAUCGAACGGAAAAGAAAAAAUUAAGACUGGGAUAAUUUUUAUUGACCGUAAUAAACAUUAGACGAAAUUUAAUCAGUUUUAUUAAAUGAAUUUACGUGUGACAACAAAUAUAAAUUUAUUAAUUUGACGCGAUUAAACAAUUUUAUAAAAAUUAAGAAGAAAAAUUUUCGCGAGAUUCCGAAUUUAAGCCGUAGAGAGAUCAGCAGAUACGUUGGAAUAUGCUAAUUAUAACAAGAAUAAUAUUUUUAAUAUCAUUGAUGUUGGUGAACUAUUUUUAAUGUUAUUGAAAUUAUUUAUAAUUUUUAUUAAGAUAACCAAUUACGGUAAUUGUUUUUAGUAUACACUUUUUUUUUUGCAUCCGUAAACACAUUCUAACAGAAGUUUCGAAGAAGAUAGUUUCCGUGUAUGAAAAGAGAACAAGCAGAAAGACCAAACACAUACCAACUAAGAAAAAAAAAAUAUAUAUAUAUAUCUACUUGCUACAAGUGUAUGCACGUUCAAAUCAAGAAGAAAGAAAAAAAACGCUAUCUGCUGCUUUCAAGAAUUUCGUGACUAAUUAAGACGUAUCAGACGUAGCGGAAAUCGACAUUAGAUUUAUGUUCGCAUGGAGAAUAAACUGGAGAGCAGCAAGAAACCGCCGCAACCGCACAGUGAAAAACAUGACAGAGACAGACAUAAUAUGGCAUCUUCAUA
This is a long non-coding RNA of Pseudomyrmex gracilis, 1033 nucleotides long. RefSeq lists it as uncharacterized. The transcript has 3 exons. The record is from RefSeq and is a predicted model, not a curated record. NCBI's taxonomy places the organism in Eukaryota, Metazoa, Arthropoda, Insecta, Hymenoptera, Formicidae.